GCUUUGGCAGACCCGGCUUCGGCCCACCGGCUCCGGCUGGUCAGUGUCUGCCAGAGGACCUAAAACUCUGUUUGUUAAUAUUGUCUGAGUACUAUAUAAUAGUUAAAACUUUCAACAACGGAUCUCUUGGUUCUGGCAUCGAUGAAGAACGCAGCGAAAUGCGAUAAGUAAUGUGAAUUGCAGAAUUCAGUGAAUCAUCGAAUCUUUGAACGCACAUUGCGCCCUCUGGUAUUCCGGGGGGCAUGCCUGUUCGAGCGUCAUUACAACCCUCAAGCUUUGCUUGGUAUUGGACAUUGCCAGUUUCUGGCAGGUCUUAAAAUCAGUGGCGGUGCCAUUUGGCUUCAAGCGUAGUAAUUCUUCUCGCUUUGGAGAUCCAGGUGGUUACUUGCCAAUAACCCCCAAUUUUUUCAGGUUGACCUCGGAUCAGGUAGGGAUACCCGCUGAACUUAAGCAUAUCAAUAAGCGGAGGA
Molecule: ribosomal RNA, 470 nt
Filed under: uncultured Thelebolales
Lineage: Eukaryota; Fungi; Ascomycota; Leotiomycetes; Thelebolales
Description: eukaryotic LSU rRNA
Rfam family: 5.8S ribosomal RNA (bases 107-260)
Source: RNAcentral